This 427-nucleotide ribosomal RNA is filed under the name uncultured bacterium. RNAcentral's name for it is "partial 16S ribosomal RNA". It matches the Rfam family "Bacterial small subunit ribosomal RNA", at positions 355 to 774 of the family's 1533-position model. The record is from RNAcentral.
UGGGGAAUAUUGGACAAUGGGCGAAAGCCUGAUCCAGCCAUGCCGCGUGUGUGAAGAAGGUCUUCGGAUUGUAAAGCACUUUAAGUUGGGAGGAAGGACAUUAACCUAAUACGUUAGUGUUUUGACGUUACCGACAGAAUAAGCACCGGCUAACUCUGUGCCAGCAGCCGCGGUAAUACAGAGGGUGCAAGCGUUAAUAGGAAUUACUGGGCGUAAAGCGCGCGUAGGUGGUUUGUUAAGUUGGAUGUGAAAUCCCCGGGCUCAACCUGGGAACUGCAUUCAAAACUGACUGACUAGAGUAUGGUAGAGGGUGGUGGAAUUUCCUGUGUAGCGGUGAAAUGCGUAGAUAUAGGAAGGAACACCAGUGGCGAAGGCGACCACCUGGACUAAUACUGACACUGAGGUGCGAAAGCGUGGGGAGCAAACA